AACGUCAAGUAAAUAUAUAAUUAUAUAUUGCCAAAUGCUCAAUAUUUAUCAAGAAAAGCAUACGUCUCAGUAGACUUGUAAAAUAUCAAUCUAGUAAAUUACUUAAAAUAAAAUAUAUAUAACGAAAAAAGAUUUUCGACGAUACACAUACCACAGUUGUUGUCAUAGAAAGACCUCGAAGAUUAACAAAUUUUACAGAAAUCCUGUUUAAAAGUACUUAUUAUUAGAAAAACAUAUCAAUUGAAAUGGCUACACCUACCCCUGAUGCUCCUGAAAAUUUCGAUCAGUUUGAUGAUGAUGAAUCCGAGCAGCAACUGGGUGCAACCGGUUCUGGCCGCAAGAGACUCUUCAGCAAAGAAUUACGUUGCAUGAUGUAUGGGUUUGGGGAUGAUCAGAAUCCAUACACGGAGAGUGUGGACUUUUUGGAGGAUUUGGUUAUUGAAUUUAUUACAGAAACCACACACAGAGCAAUGGAGGUAGGAAGAACAGGGAGGGUUCAAGUGGAAGAUAUUAUUUUCUUAGUACGAAAAGAUCAAAGGAAAUAUGCUAGAGUCAAGGACCUUCUUACAAUGAAUGAAGAACUGAAGAAAGCUAGGAAAGCUUUUGAUGAAGUUAAAUAUGUCGAAGACCAACAAUAAUGACGAUGGCGAACAAGAGACAGCUUCUAAGGCUGAUGCAAAAUGAAGAACCAAGACAUGAUUAGUUAUGUAAUAUCAUACUUAUAUCACGAGCUGUGUUACGCUGAAGUUGAAGCAAAAGGGUAUAAUAAGGAUAGGAUCAGAUAAGUCGGUUAGCGUAGCAAAUAAUACGACUAAUAAUAAAUUAUUUUGUUCAUUC
RNA transcript from Cydia pomonella (codling moth), 837 nucleotides. It is a transcript of the gene named transcription initiation factor TFIID subunit 13, with no coding region annotated. Lineage: Eukaryota; Metazoa; Arthropoda; Insecta; Lepidoptera; Tortricidae. The record is from RefSeq and is a predicted model, not a curated record. The transcript is spliced from 6 exons.